UGCCAGCCGCCGCGGUAAUACGGAGGGUGCGAGCGUUAAUCGGAAUUACUGGGCGUAAAGCGCGCGUAGGCGGCUUUGUAAGUCGGAUGUGAAAUCCCCGGGCUUAACCUGGGAACUGCAUUCGAUACUGUCAAGCUAGAAUGUUGGAGAGGCAAGUGGAAUUUCCGGUGUAGCGGUGAAAUGCGUAGAGAUCGGAAGGAACACCAGUGGCGAAGGCGGCUUGCUGGCUCGAUACUGACGCUGAGGUGCGAAAGCGUGGGGAGCAAACAGGAUUAGAUA
RNAcentral lists this ribosomal RNA (279 nucleotides) under uncultured bacterium. RNAcentral describes it as "partial 16S ribosomal RNA". It matches the Rfam family "Bacterial small subunit ribosomal RNA", at positions 506 to 784 of the family's 1533-position model. The record is from RNAcentral.